CAGCAGUAGCCGCGGUAAUACAAAGGGUGCGAGCGUUAAUCGGAUUUACUGGGCGUAAAGCGUGCGUAGGCGGCUUUUUAAGUCGGAUGUGAAAUCCCUGAGCUUAACUUAGGAAUUGCAUUCGAUACUGGGAAGCUAGAGUAUGGGAGAGGAUGGUAGAAUUCCAGGUGUAGCGGUGAAAUGCGUAGAGAUCUGGAGGAAUACCGAUGGCGAAGGCAGCCAUCUGGCCUAAUACUGACGCUGAGGUACGAAAGCAUGGGGAGCAAACAGGAUUAGAGACCCCGGUAGUCCCUGUCUCUUAUAC
This 304-nucleotide ribosomal RNA is filed under the name uncultured bacterium. Its description in RNAcentral is "partial 16S ribosomal RNA". It matches the Rfam family "Bacterial small subunit ribosomal RNA", at positions 506 to 807 of the family's 1533-position model. The record is from RNAcentral.